RNAcentral lists this ribosomal RNA (440 nucleotides) under uncultured bacterium. RNAcentral's name for it is "bacterial SSU rRNA". It matches the Rfam family "Bacterial small subunit ribosomal RNA", at positions 32 to 452 of the family's 1533-position model. The record is from RNAcentral.
AAUCAACGCUGGCGGCGUGCCUCAGACAUGCAAGUCGAACGCGAAAGUCCCCUUCGGGGGACAAGUAGAGUGGCGCACGGGUGAGUAACACGUAGGUAAUCUACCUUUGGAUGGGGAAUAACAACCGGAAACGGUUGCUAAUACCGCAUAAUGCAGCGGCACCUAAUGGUGACAGUUGUUAAAGCGGGGGAUCGAAAGACCUCGCGUCUAAAGAGGAGCCUGCGGCGGAUUAGCUAGUUGGAGGGUAAUGGCCUACCAAGGCGACGAUCCGUAGCCGGCCUGAGAGGGCGGUCGGCCACACUGACACUGACAUACGGGUCAGACUCCUACGGGAGGCAGCAGUCGGGAAUUUUGGGCAAUGGGCGAAAGCCUGACCCAGCAACGCCGCGUGAAGGAUGAAAUCCCUCGGGAUGUAAACUUCGCAAGAACGGGAAGAAUAA